This 452-nucleotide ribosomal RNA is filed under the name uncultured marine bacterium. Its description in RNAcentral is "bacterial SSU rRNA". It matches the Rfam family "Bacterial small subunit ribosomal RNA", at positions 360 to 804 of the family's 1533-position model. The record is from RNAcentral.
AAUAAUUCACAAUGGGGGAAACCCUGAUGGUGCAACGCCGCGUGGAGGAUGAAGGCCCUAGGGUCGUAAACUCCUGUCAUUUGAGAGUAAGACCUGGUCGUUAAUAGCGGACAGGGUUGAUAGUAUCAAAAGAGGAAGGGACGGCUAACUUCGUGCCAGCAGCCGCGGUAAUACGAAGGUCCCGAGCGUUGUUCGGAAUCACUGGGCGUAAAGGGAGCGUAGGCGGUUUGGUAAGUCAGAUGUGAAAUCUUGGGGCUCAACCCCGAAACUGCAUCCGAUACUGCUUAACUUGAGUAAUGGAGGGGUAGCUGGAAUUCUCGGUGUAGCAGUGAAAUGCGUGGAUAUCGAGAGGAACACUCGUGGCGAAGGCGAGCUACUGGACAUUUACUGACGCUGAGGCUCGAAGGCCAGGGUAGCGAAAGGGAUUAGAUACCCCUGUAGUCCUGGCAGUA